CGACGUCGGCGCGCAGGUCCGCGCUGGGCGCCUCCAGGAGGCGCUGUGAGGCCUGUUCCAGGCGGGCGGCGGCGUC
RNAcentral lists this transfer RNA (76 nucleotides) under Actinomyces glycerinitolerans. Lineage: Bacteria; Bacillati; Actinomycetota; Actinomycetes; Actinomycetales; Actinomycetaceae. The record is from RNAcentral.